This 85-nucleotide transfer RNA is filed under the name Candidatus Micrarchaeota archaeon CG08_land_8_20_14_0_20_59_11. RNAcentral's name for it is "tRNA-Leu". It matches the Rfam family "tRNA". Rfam says of the family: Transfer RNA (tRNA) molecules are approximately 80 nucleotides in length. Their secondary structure includes four short double-helical elements and three loops (D, anti-codon, and T loops). Further hydrogen bonds mediate the characteristic L-shaped molecular structure. tRNAs have two regions of fundamental functional importance: the anti-codon, which is responsible for specific mRNA codon recognition, and the 3' end, to which the tRNAs corresponding amino acid is attached (by aminoacyl-tRNA synthetases). tRNAs cope with the degeneracy of the genetic code in two manners: having more than one tRNA (with a specific anti-codon) for a particular amino acid; and 'wobble' base-pairing, i.e. permitting non-standard base-pairing at the 3rd anti-codon position. Lineage: Archaea; Nanobdellati; Microcaldota. RNAcentral also lists the same sequence under 1 other name. The record is from RNAcentral.
GCAGGGGUAGCAAAGCCUGGUCAAAUGCGAUGGACUCAAGAUCCAUUCCCUCAGGGGUUCGAGAGUUCGAAUCUCUCCCCCUGCA